Molecule: ribosomal RNA, 484 nt
Filed under: uncultured bacterium
Lineage: Bacteria
Description: partial 16S ribosomal RNA
Rfam family: Bacterial small subunit ribosomal RNA
Source: RNAcentral
AUUGAACGCUGGCGGCAGGCCUAACACAUGCGAGUCGAGCGGAUGAAGGGAGCUUGCUCCUGGAUUCAGCGGCGGACGGGUGAGUAAUGCCUAGGAAUCUGCCUGGUAGUGGGGGAUAACGUCCGGAAACGGGCGCUAAUACCGCAUACGUCCUGAGGGAGAAAGUGGGGGAUCUUCGGACCUCACGCUAUCAGAUGAGCCUAGGUCGGAUUAGCUAGUUGGUGGGGUAAAGGCCUACCAAGGCGACGAUCCGUAACUGGUCUGAGAGGACGAUCAGUCACACUGGAACUGAGACACGGUCCAGACUCCUACGGGAGGCAGCAGUGGGGAAUAUUGGACAAUGGGCGAAAGCCUGAUCCAGCCAUGCCGCGUGUGUGAAGAAGGUCUUCGGAUUGUAAAGCACUUUAAGUUGGGAGGAAGGGCAGUAAGUUAAUACCUUGCUGUUUUGACGUUACUAACAGAAUAAGCACCGGCUAACCUCGUG